This is a non-coding RNA of Populus trichocarpa (black cottonwood), 140 nucleotides long. NCBI's taxonomy places the organism in Eukaryota, Viridiplantae, Streptophyta, Magnoliopsida, Malpighiales, Salicaceae. The record is from Rfam.
UAAUCUAUUUAGAGCAGAUCAUCAUCUAAUUAUGAUAAAUUUACACCUGAUUGGUAGUUGUGGUGCUUUAAAAGCGCGACAAGUUUAAAUAUUGCUAUUAUAAAGUGCAAUAACUAUCUUGUUAUGCUUAGAAAUAGAGA